UUACACAAUACUGAGUAAUUCUAUACNCCUAUAGAAGAUUUUAUGUUAAAACUAGUAACAAGAAGAAGAACUUCUCUUACAAUGCAAGUGUAAAUCAGACAGGACACCCCACCGACAAUUAACACCAAUGAACAAAAAGUAGUAACUUAACAAGAAAACCCUACUACACCAUAUGUUAACCUAACACCAGAGCAUUACAAGAAAGAUUUAAAGAAAGAGAAGGAACUCGGCAAAUAUUAACCUCGCCUGUUUACCAAAAACAUCGCCUCUUGAAAACAUAAGAGGUCCAGCCUGCCCAGUGACUCUGUUCAACGGCCGCGGUAUCCUAACCGUGCGAAGGUAGCGUAAUCACUUGUUCUUUAAAUGAGGACUAGUAUGAACGGCACCACGAAGGUUAUACUGUCUCCUCUUUCCAAUCAGUAAAACUAAUCUCCCCGUGAAGAAGCGAGGAUGAACAUAUAAGACGAGAAGACCCUAUGGAGCUUCAAACUACACAACACCUGCUUUAAUUCAAUUAACUU
Molecule: ribosomal RNA, 521 nt
Filed under: Cochranella megista
Lineage: Eukaryota; Metazoa; Chordata; Amphibia; Anura; Centrolenidae
Description: partial large subunit ribosomal RNA
Rfam family: Archaeal large subunit ribosomal RNA (bases 204-450)
Source: RNAcentral